This 497-nucleotide ribosomal RNA is filed under the name uncultured bacterium. RNAcentral describes it as "partial 16S ribosomal RNA". It matches the Rfam family "Bacterial small subunit ribosomal RNA", at positions 28 to 507 of the family's 1533-position model. The record is from RNAcentral.
GAUGAACGCUGGCGGCGUGCCUAAUACAUGCAAGUCGAGCGAACAGACGAGGAGCUUGCUCCUCUGACGUUAGCGGCGGACGGGUGAGUAACACGUGGAUAACCUACCUAUAAGACUGGGAUAACUUCGGGAAACCGGAGCUAAUACCGGAUAAUAUAUUGAACCGCAUGGUUCAAUAGUGAAAGACGGUUUUGCUGUCACUUAUAGAUGGAUCCGCGCCGCAUUAGCUAGUUGGUAAGGUAACGGCUUACCAAGGCGACGAUGCGUAGCCGACCUGAGAGGGUGAUCGGCCACACUGGAACUGAGACACGGUCCAGACUCCUACGGGAGGCAGCAGUAGGGAAUCUUCCGCAAAGGGCGAAAGCCUGACGGAGCAACGCCGCGUGAGUGAUGAAGGUCUUCGGAUCGUAAAACUCUGUUAUUAGGGAAGAACAAAUGUGUAAGUAACUAUGCACGUCUUGACGGUACCUAAUCAGAGAGCCACGGCUAACUACGUG